CAGCAGCCGCGGUAAUACGUAGGGUGCGAGCGUUAAUCGGAAUUACUGGGCGUAAAGCGUGCGCAGGCGGUUCGCUAAGUCUGAUGUGAAAGCCCCGGGCUCAGCCUGGGGACUGCAUUGGAAACUGGCGAGCUUGAGUGUGGCAGAGGGGGGUGGAAUUCCACGUGUAGCAGUGAAAUGCGUAGAGAUGUGGAGGAACACCGAUGGCGAAGGCAGCCCCCUGGGCUAACACUGACGCUCAGGCACGAAAGCGUGGGGAGCAAACAGGAUUAGAUACCCUGGUAGUCCACGCCCUAAACUAUGUCAACUGGGUGUUGGGGAAGCGAUUCCUCAGUACCGUAGCUAACGCGUGAAGUUGACCGCCUGGGGAGUACGGCCGCAAGGUUAAAACUUAAAGGAAUUGACGG
This 407-nucleotide ribosomal RNA is filed under the name uncultured bacterium. RNAcentral's name for it is "bacterial SSU rRNA". It matches the Rfam family "Bacterial small subunit ribosomal RNA", at positions 509 to 916 of the family's 1533-position model. The record is from RNAcentral.